Molecule: unclassified non-coding RNA, 148 nt
Organism: Macaca fascicularis (crab-eating macaque)
Lineage: Eukaryota; Metazoa; Chordata; Mammalia; Primates; Cercopithecidae
Rfam family: Metazoan signal recognition particle RNA
About the family: The signal recognition particle (SRP) is a universally conserved ribonucleoprotein.
Source: Ensembl
GCCAGGUGUGGUGGUGCACACCUGUAGUCCUAGCUACUUGGGAGGCUGAGGUGGGAGGAACACUUGAGCCCAGGAGGUUGAGGCUGCAGUGAGCCGAGAUCACACCACUGCACUCCAGCCUGGGUGACAGAGUGAGACCCUGUCUCAA